GGGCCGGUAGCUCAGUUGGAAGAGCAACGGACUUUUAAUCCGUGGGUCGUGGGUUCGAAUCCCACCCGGCUCA
Molecule: transfer RNA, 73 nt
Filed under: Chloroflexota bacterium
Lineage: Bacteria; Bacillati; Chloroflexota
Description: tRNA-Lys
Rfam family: tRNA
About the family: Transfer RNA (tRNA) molecules are approximately 80 nucleotides in length. Their secondary structure includes four short double-helical elements and three loops (D, anti-codon, and T loops). Further hydrogen bonds mediate the characteristic L-shaped molecular structure. tRNAs have two regions of fundamental functional importance: the anti-codon, which is responsible for specific mRNA codon recognition, and the 3' end, to which the tRNAs corresponding amino acid is attached (by aminoacyl-tRNA synthetases). tRNAs cope with the degeneracy of the genetic code in two manners: having more than one tRNA (with a specific anti-codon) for a particular amino acid; and 'wobble' base-pairing, i.e. permitting non-standard base-pairing at the 3rd anti-codon position.
Source: RNAcentral